Scatophagus argus is the source of this 3352-nucleotide long non-coding RNA. RefSeq lists it as uncharacterized. The transcript has 2 exons. The record is from RefSeq and is a predicted model, not a curated record. NCBI's taxonomy places the organism in Eukaryota, Metazoa, Chordata, Actinopteri, Scatophagidae.
UCACCUGCCAUCAUGAGAAGAACAAAAAAGAAAUAAUAAAAUUAAAUAAGCAAUAAUGUUUUUCCACUGGCUUGUGCUUUAAUGCAGUUUCGGUGUGGUUUUGAUCGUUUUUAUAGUCAAAAUCGCUGAAAUCCUGUAUUUCAAAUACAAAGGAGAGACGACAGGUGAGGCAGCGCGGGGCCGUGGACUGAGCGCGUGCACCUGGCGCGUGCUUGUUUCCAUUUUUAUGUAUGUUUCCAGUAUCCUGCUUGACGACACUUUCAUCAUACGUCUUAGUUGCCAUAGUGAUCGGUAAUGUAUUGCACGUAUGUGUGUGAUUGAUCGGACAAAAAUCCACAAAGGAAAAGCUUGUCGUGAGGCAGGCAGUACCUCUGCCUCACAGACGGGGGCGAUAGUGAGCCUGAAGGUCGGGAGUUUAAUACGCGGUUUACUCUUGCUAAAGUUAAAACAACAACAACCAAACAAUCCAACACACUGUUUUUGCGCUAGCUUGAAUGGAGGGUUUUAGAGGUUUAAUAAAAACUGAAGCAGACCUCGACGGCGGACCGACGAGGUCUGCUUCAAACAAACGGCAGUAAGUCGGUCUUUUAAACGGGGUGGAUUAGCCGAAAAGAUCGGCUUUGUGGCUCUGCCGCAAAAACCCGCCUUUUUGCUUUCCCUGCCUUUUGUUCUCUACGUGUGACAAUGUCUGGACCCAAGCUGGAUUCGGUGAUUUGAAAAACUUGCCAAGAAGUCUCAGCAAACAUGAACGAUCGACUGCUCACAUCCAAAGUCUGAUUUCUUUAAAAGCCUUUGGAACCUCACGGAUUGAUGCGACGCUGAAUGAACGACGGAGACUUCAGCAUCCGCGAUGCUAAGAAAUUCAACGUUAAAAGUGAGCUGGAAAAAGCAAACGAUGACGUGCAGCACAUCCGACGCCAAGUCAACAGCAGCUGAACUGUACAGGAACGUGUCACACCUGAAAGUCCGAAGGGCGAAUCAGAGACGGCGAGGGGGCAGGUUAAAGUCUGGAACAGCAGGUACCGUAAAUCCUCUAAUAGUGGACGCUUUUCUAACAACCUUUGAUUUUCUACAUUUCUCUCACUGUCAUCAAAUCCCAUUAAAAUAUUGAAAGACAACAGUUUCUUCUUCCUCUGUGCUCCAGUGAUGUAAAAAUCCCACCAACGAGGCACACUGUGUGAACACACACACACACACACACACACACACACACACACACACCGGGCACCAAAUAAGGAUUAAUCCACUGCUGAAAAUAGUCCCCAACAAAUGCACUUACUUCCUCCAGUCUGUCUGAUGAUAAACCAGUGGAAAAGUCAGACUUUUUGUUUAAGGUGUUUUAAAAGGUUUACAUCUUCAGUAUGAGCCAAUGAGCUUCAAGCUGAGAGCCACAAACAGGAAGUCAGAAAGUAUUUGGAGGCAAACUAACAAAUUGUCAGUUUUGCUCCUUUGUGGGAUUUGCUGACAGUAAGAAAAAUACAAACACCAGCCUUUGCUUUAGCUGCUGUUCAUGGAACUCAACACUUCCUGUACAGACUUCAAAAUAAAAGUUUGGAGUUUGCAGUGAGAAACUCAGGCUAAAAAAGAACUGCUGACCAUGUUGAUAAUUGAUCAAUCAAAUGUUUAGUUCUCUAAUGUGAGGAUUUUUCAUUCAGGAACAGUUUGACUGAUUUCUGUCAUUUCAUAAAUGAAAUUAUUUAUCAGAUUAUAGAUUAAUCAAUAGUGCUAAUAUUUGUUAACUAAUCAUGAUUACUAACGUUCCAACAUCUCAAAGUGUUCCUCAUAGUUCAGUUUAUUGGAUCAUCUCCUGCAGGUAUAAUUCAUUCAUAAAAACUUGAUGUAUUGCAUGGCUUUCUGUUAGCACAGAAUGGAGUAAAAACUUGUUUUCUUCUACACUAAACUCACAGCGAUAAUCAGCCUGAACCAGACAUGACGAACUGAUGGAGGACGCUUGGAGUCUUCACUGAGAGCACGAAGAAGCAGCAGGACGUUAAGAGGACCAACGGGACAAAAUAAAAGCCUGCGUGUCUCUUCGCCUGAGGUGAAGAAAAGGUCCUGCCCGCUAUGUGAGAAUUUACGGUAUUUGUCACACGUUAACAGCAGUCUGUGUGUUAAAAAGCGUCUGUACAGAGUAAGUGAAGCGUUUUCCUCUGUUCAGUCAAUCUUCAUAACUGAGGAAACAGUCAAACUUUAAAAGUGUCACAUUUCUCAAAGAAAACCAAAAAAAUGGCAAUUUUAUUGCCAAAGAGACCAAAAAAAAAAAAACCAAAAACAUCCAAGCACCAUAUUUAUACACCAUCGACACUCGACAUCCAGCGCAGGGAAAACCAUAGAAAAGAUUCAUUUGAUCGUUCACAUUUGCAUAAUGUUUUAUAUUGGUCCAUCCGUCGUCACGGCGAGCUUCUGGUCUGCUUUCUUUUUUUCUUUUUUUUUUUUUACCGUAAUGAUGAAAAAAGACAAACUAGGAAACUAUCAACAUGCAUGAAGCCUUACUGGGUGUCAGAAGAUGAGAAACGAAAAAGAGAAACAGGCACUGACCACCAACUACAGCAUAAGCAGUGAAAGCUUCACUUCAGGAUAAAAAAGAAUUUCGAGUGUACAUCACCAUAAAAAUGACACCGACGACGCUCAGAGCAGGAGGGAGGACGACCACGUCUUCUCAGGGACGUUCAACAAACUGCUUUUGGCAACAUUACAAGCGUUUGGGUUGUUAACAAAACCAAGUGUGCAAAAUUAAAAAAAAAAAAAAAUAUCCAAAGUGUCAAAUCAUGAAACACUCUAAGAUCCAGCUCAGUAAAAACCUGUACACCCCCCCCCGAUUCAGGACAAAUUCAAAACUUCUUUCAUAUCCCGUCCUAUGCAGGGUCGGCGUCCGGGCGACGGGCGGGAGCGACCCGGACGCGUCGCUCACAUUCACGCCUACGGGCAAUUUAGAGUCGCCAGCCAGAUGCGCCCGUCAACAUCCCGCUCAUUUAAAAACUACAAGAACAAAGACCCCAAAAUGUGCAUAAUUGUGUUAAGUAUAAUAGUAAAAGUACAUGGAAGAUUUACUGUGUCGGCGUCUUUAAAGGCCGACCUCGUGACCCUGUUCCCAAUAAGUGACUGAGGACAAGAAGAUUUUAGGUAGAAAUGAUAAAAGGUGCCAUCACCGCAACCGCUUCAUGAAAAAGAGAGAGAAAAAAAAUAAAAUUUAACAUCUGUGAGUCAUGUCAUCCGCUAUACACGAUCGUCUGCAGUUUUUUUGUCGUUUUUAAACUGGUUUUCUCUAUGAAAGCAGAGCCGGCUGGAUGCUGCCGCUGCGUACGCCAACGCAAGAUCGACGGCGCGUUUGUCGCAUUUACAGUAAGAAAAG